RNAcentral lists this ribosomal RNA (504 nucleotides) under Triticum aestivum (bread wheat). RNAcentral describes it as "partial small subunit ribosomal RNA". Lineage: Eukaryota; Viridiplantae; Streptophyta; Magnoliopsida; Poales; Poaceae. The record is from RNAcentral.
AUGGGUACGCCAUGCACUGAUGAAGACAGGGACUUUUUUGCAGCUGCCACUUCCGUCACAGUUGGCAAUGGGCAUGUGGCUAAGUUCUGGAACUCCUCCUGGCUUGAUGGCAUGCGCCCACGGGACCUAGCGCCUGGCAUUUUCGACCUCUCCCGAAGGAAAAACUGCUCGGUCAAACAGGCUUUAACAAACAACACUUGGAUCUCUCAUAUUGACUUCUCCGACGGUCUCACAGUAGACCAUGUCCACCAGUUCGUCGCACUUUGGGAGAAGAUUGACUCGGUCACUCUGGAUGAGGACGUGGAGGAUUCCAUUAUUUGGAAGUUCACCAAGGACGGAUCGUACUCAGCUUCCUCGGCUUACAAGGCGCAGUUUGAGGGCCUAACUACGUCAGCCAUGGUCCUAUCGGUGUGGAAGGUGUGGGCUCCUUUGCGUGCUGUGCCACAGCAGCAGCGUGUGUGCACCCACGCAAAGCACCAAACAAACCAGAGAGAAAUACUCUAG